AUCUCUCUCUCUCUCUCUCUCUCUCUCUCUCUCCGCAGAAACGACGCUUUGACAACCACGGCCUUCACCUGCGAUGGAAUUCUCAAGCUGCUUGACUCGCGGCUCAUCCCUUCGGCCUUCACCGGCAACAACAAGGUCUUCUAACUCAAGAUGAAGGGCGAUAACGAUCGCUAUCUUGCUGAGUUCAAGAUCGGGGCCGAGCGCAAUGACUAGUCAACCCUAUUUGAUCUCAUUGUGGAACGUCAAAACCCUAUCUGAACCCUAAUAACGAUUUUCUUCUUGGUCGCGAUUGUUGUGUUUUAGUAUAAGGUUUCGAAAAUUGGGGCUUGGAUUAGUUACAAGUUGAAGUAAGAUGGACGGUGGAAGAGACAACAAAGAUGAGUCUAAUGACAAAGGGCUAUUUUCAUAAUUUGUUGGAUAUGCUGCUGGACACUACCCACAGGUGCCAUUUUAGUUGUGUAUAUGAGUUGGUAAUUAUAAUUGAUUGGCCCAGUUUGAUGUAGUGGUUUGUGAGCGAGCCUUCAUCCUUUGAGGGUCGAGGUUCAAGUCCCCUCAAUGACGGUGGCUGGCAGAUGUGGUGGCCGGAGGUUGGAGUUUGACGGUGGCCGGCGGUGGUGGCCAGAGGCGGGAGUUCGGCGGUGGCGGCGAUUGACUAGAUAUGGACAUGUGGCAUAGUAUGCUUGCCUUAGGAGUGUCAUUGUGUGUAAUUUUGAUAUUUUUUAAUGAUAUUUUUGUAAAAUUAGGUACUACAUUUUGGUUUUGGCCUUGUGCUAAUUAGAUGAAAUUGUAUUCAUAUCUUUCAAAUUAGUAAACUAUAUUGUGUUUUAAAA
Non-coding RNA from Prunus mume (Japanese apricot), 830 nucleotides. Lineage: Eukaryota; Viridiplantae; Streptophyta; Magnoliopsida; Rosales; Rosaceae. The record is from RefSeq and is a predicted model, not a curated record.